UGGGUAUAUGGUGGAUGCCUUGGCGCCAGAAGACGAUGAAGGGCGCGGCAAGCUGCGAUAAUCCGCGGGGAGGAGCAAACAUCUUUUGAUCCGCGGGUGCCCGAAUCGGGAAACCGGCCUGUCAUUUGGCAGGCACCCAUGCGCGAAGGCGGGGCCGUCAGGUCCCGCGAUAGCGUAUGAGGAGACAACCAUGGGAAGCGAAACAUCCCAGUACCAUGAGGAAGAGAAAUCAACGAGAUUCCCCCAGUAGUGGCGAGCGAACAGGGAGGAGCCCAAACCGGCGGGAUUCAUUCCGCCGGGGUUGAAGGGUCCGUCCGGUUAAGAGCCGGGAAGUGAAAACCGCGAGACAGCCGAACCCUCUGGAAAGGGGGGCGACACAGGGUGAGAGCCCCGUAGGCGAAGUCAGGGCGGCUUCCGACGGAUGCCUGAGUAGUGCCGGGCACGUGCAAUCCGGCAUGAAUCCGGGGAGACCACUCUCCAAGGCUAAAUACUCUCUGGCGACCGAUAGUGUACAAGUACCGCGAGGGAAAGGCGAAAAGAACCCCGGGAGGGGAGUGAAAUAGAACCUGAAACCGUAUAUCUGCAAACUGUCGUAGCGCUAUGGGCCCGCGAGGGCCAACGCGCGACGGCGUGCCUGUUGAAGAAUGAUCCAGCGAGUUGCGUGGUGCGAGCGAGGUUAAGGGGGAAGUAGACCCCGGAGCCGCAGCGAAAGCGAGUCUGAACAGGGCGUUCAGUUCGUAUCAGCAGACUCGAAGCCAGGUGAUCUAACCCUGUCCAGGGUGAAGCCGCCCUAACCGGCGGUGGAGGCCCGGAGUGUUGAACGUUGAAAAGUUCCUACAUGAGGUGGGGUUAGGGGUGAAAGGCCAAUCGAACCUGGUGAUAGCUAGUUCUCCCCGAAAUAUCUAUAGGGAUAGCGUCGUAUGUUGAACCGCGGGGGUAGAGCACUGAAUGACGUAGGCUGGGCGACCCCUGGUCCGAAAUCAAUCAAACUCCGAAUACCGCGGCGUACCGUACGGCAGUCAGUUCGUGAGGGAAAAGCUUCACGUGCAAGAGAGGAACAGCUCAGACCAUCGGUCUAGGCCCCAAAAUGCAUGCUGAGUGGCAAAGGAUGUGGGUCCACACAAACAGCCAGGAGGUUGGCUUAGAAGCAGCCACCCUUUGAAGAGUGCGUAACAGCUCACUGGUCGAGCGGAUCCGCGCCGAAAAUGACACGGGGCUAAGCAUGCUGCCGCAGCCGUGGAUCUCCGGGACAAGUCCCGGGGGUGGUAGGGGAGCGUUCCCGGGGCGUCGAAGGCAUACCGCAAGGAGUGCUGGAGCGCCGGGAAGAGAGGAUGCUGGAAUAAGUAGCGAUAAACGGGGUGGGAAUCCCCGUCACCGAAAGCCUAAGGGUUCCUUGAGCAACGUUCGUCGGCUCAGGGUCAGUCGGUCCUAAGCCGAGGCCGAAGGGCGUAGGCGAAGGGCAUCCGGUCAACAUUCCGGAACCAUUGGCAGUGCGUCCGCACCUGGGGAGGGACGCGGAAAGCAGCGCGCACCGGCUGGAGGAAUAGCCGGGGAAAGGGGACGCGCCGAGGACACGCAGGCAAAUCCGCGUGUCCGCGGAAGGCGCGCCCGAGACGAGGACGGGAGACCGUCCGAAGCCGCGCGGGCGGGCCGCCCAGAAAAGCUUCGCAGGGAGUGCUGCCGAUGACCGUACCGUAAACCGACACAGGUGGGCGGGUUGAGAAUACUAAGGUGCGCGAGAUAACCUUCGUUAAGGAACUAGGCAAACUGGCCCCGUAACCUCGGAAUAAGGGGCGCCCCUGUAGGGGGCACGUCCGCGAGGGCGUGUUACCGAAAGGGCCGCAGUGAAAUGGGGAUCGUGACUGUUUAACACAAACUUAGGGCUCUGCUGAAAUCGCAAGAUGACGUAUAGGGCCUGAUGCCUGCCCGGUGCCGGAAGGUCAAGGGGAGGGGUCAGCCGCAAGGCGAAGCCUCGAACUCAAGCCCCGGUAAACGGCGGCGGUAACUAUAACCGUCCUAAGGUAGCGAAAUUCCUUGUCGGGUAAGUUCCGACCUGCACGAAUGGCAUAACAAAGAUCCCGCUGUCUCAACGAAGGGCUCGGCGAAAUUGUGGUGCAAGUGAAGACGCUUGCUGCGCGCAGCUAGACGAAAAGACCUCGUGGAGCUUUACUGUAACUUGUCAUUGGCCUACGGCCACGGCCGCGUAGGAUAGGUGGGAGCCUUUGAGCCAGGGUUCGCGGACCCUGGGGAGGCGCCGUUGAAAUACCACCCCUCCUUGGCUGUGGGCCUAACCCCGAAGCCGUGAAACCGGCCGGGGGACAUUGGCAGGCGGGCAGUUUGACUGGGGCGGUCGCCUCCCAAAGAGUAACGGAGGCGCGCAAAGGUCCCCUCAGGGCGGAUAGAAAUCGCCCAUAGAGCGCAAUGGCAGAAGGGGGCUUGACUGCAAGGCCGACGGGCCGAGCAGGUGCGAAAGCAGGCCAUAGUGAUCCGGUGGCGCCUCGUGGGAGGGCCAUCGCUCAACGGAUAAAAGCUACCCCGGGGAUAACAGGCUGAUCUGGUCCAAGAGUCCACAUCGACGACCAGGUUUGGCACCUCGAUGUCGGCUCAUCGCAUCCUCCCGCUGAAGCAGGUGGGAAGGGUUGGGCUGUUCGCCCAUUAAAGCGGUACGUGAGCUGGGUUCAGUACGUCGUGAGACAGUACGGUCUCUAUCUGCUGUGCGCGGAGGAAACUUGAGGGAAGCUGCCCGCAGUACGAGAGGACCCGGGUGGACGCGCCUCCCGUGUGCCUGCUGUCCCGCCAGGGGCAUAGGCAGGAUAGCGGAGCGCGGAAGGGAUAAGCGCUGAAAGCAUAUAAGCGCGAAACCCGUCCCAAGAUAAGGUUUCCCCGGACGAGAGUCCCUGAAGGCCCCCGGUGGACCACCGGGUUGA
Molecule: ribosomal RNA, 2927 nt
Filed under: bovine gut metagenome
Description: bacterial LSU rRNA
Rfam family: Bacterial large subunit ribosomal RNA
Source: RNAcentral